CCUACGGGAGGCAGCAGUGGGGAAUAUUGCGCAAUGGGCGAAAGCCUGACGCAGCAACGCCGCGUGAGGGAUGACGGCCUUCGGGUUGUAAACCUCUUUCAGCAGGGAAGAAGCGAAAGUGACGGUACCUGCAGAAGAAGCACCGGCUAACUACGUGCCAGCAGCCGCGGUAAUACGUAGGGUGCAAGCGUUGUCCGGAUUUAUUGGGCGUAAAGAGCUCGUAGGCGGUUAGUCACGUCGGAUGUGAAAUCCCGGAGCUUAACUCCGGGCCUGCAUUCGAUACGGGCUGACUCGAGUAUUGUAGGGGAGACUGGAACUCCUGGUGUAGCGGUGAAAUGCGCAGAUAUCAGGAAGAACACCGGUGGCGAAGGCGGGUCUCUGGGCAAUUACUGACGCUGAGGAGCGAAAGCGUGGGGAGCAAACAGGAUUAGAUACCCUGGUAGUCCACGCCGUAAACGGUGGGCGCUAGGUGUGGGGACCCUUCCACGGUCUCCGUGCCGCNGCACGCAUAGCGCCCGCCGUCGGGUAGGUACGGCCGGCGACGGACGUAAACCUACAAUAGAGUUAGACGGCGNGAGACGNGCCGACGGACGACGACGAGGGAGGUAGG
Molecule: ribosomal RNA, 610 nt
Filed under: uncultured bacterium
Lineage: Bacteria
Description: bacterial SSU rRNA
Rfam family: Bacterial small subunit ribosomal RNA (bases 1-520)
Source: RNAcentral